AGAGUUUGAUCAUGGCUCAGAAUCAACGCUGGCGGCGUGCCUCAGACAUGCAAGUCGAACGCGAAAGUUCCCUUCGGGGGGCGAGUAGAGUGGCGCACGGGUGAGUAACACGUAGGUAAUCUACCUUCGGAUGGGGAAUAACAACCGGAAACGGUUGCUAAUACCGCAUAAUGCAGCGGCACCUAAUGGUGACAGUUGUUAAAGCGGGGGAUCGUAAGACCUCGCGUCUGGAGAGGAGCCUGCGGCGGAUUAGCUAGUUGGUAAGGUAACGGCUUACCAAGGCUAUGAUCCGUAGCCGGCCUGAGAGGGCGGUCGGCCACACUGACACUGACAUACGGGUCAGACUCCUACGGGAGGCAGCAGUGGGGAAUUGUUCGCAAUGGGCGCAAGCCUGACGACGCAACGCCGCGUGGAGGAUGAAGGUCUUCGGAUUGUAAACUCCUGUUGCCCGGGACGAAUGGCUCCAACCUAACACGUUGGAGUGUGACGGUACCGGGUGAGGAAGCCCCGGCUAACUCUGUGCCAGCCGCCGCGGUAAUAC
Molecule: ribosomal RNA, 541 nt
Filed under: uncultured bacterium
Lineage: Bacteria
Description: bacterial SSU rRNA
Rfam family: Bacterial small subunit ribosomal RNA
Source: RNAcentral